Molecule: unclassified non-coding RNA, 338 nt
Filed under: soil metagenome
Description: partial contains 5.8S ribosomal RNA, internal transcribed spacer 2, and large subunit ribosomal RNA
Rfam family: 5.8S ribosomal RNA (bases 1-120)
Source: RNAcentral
GAUGAAGAACGUAGCGAAAUGCGAUAAGUAAUGUGAAUUGCAGAAUUCAGUGAAUCAUCGAAUCUUUGAACGCACAUUGCGCCCGCUAGUAUUCUGGCGGGCAUGCCUGUUCGAGCGUCAUUUCAACCAUCAAGCCCCAGCGCUUGUGUUGGGGGCCUGCGGCUGCCGCAGCCCCCUAAAAGCAGUGGCGGGCUCGCUAUCACACCGAGUGCAGUAGUUCAUCUUCUCUCCGGUCUUGUGAGGCGGGUUCCGGCCGUGAAACACCCCACUACAUUCAAGGUUGACCUCGGAUCAGGUAGGAAUACCCGCUGAACUUAAGCAUAUCAAUAAGCGGAGGA